Molecule: ribosomal RNA, 254 nt
Filed under: uncultured bacterium
Lineage: Bacteria
Description: partial 16S ribosomal RNA
Rfam family: Bacterial small subunit ribosomal RNA
Source: RNAcentral
CACGUAGGGGCCAAGCGUUGUCCGGAUUUAUUGGGCGUAAAGAGCUCGUAGGCGGUUCAGUCAGUCGGGUGUGAAAUCUCCGGGCUUAACUCGGAGGGGCCACCCGAUACUGCUGUGACUUGAGUCCGGUAGGGGAGUGGGGAAUUCCUGGUGUAGCGGUGAAAUGCGCAGAUAUCAGGAGGAACACCGGUGGCGAAGGCGCCACUCUGGGCCGGUACUGACGCUGAGGAGCGAAAGCGUGGGUAGCAAACAGG